RNAcentral lists this ribosomal RNA (495 nucleotides) under uncultured bacterium. RNAcentral describes it as "partial 16S ribosomal RNA". It matches the Rfam family "Bacterial small subunit ribosomal RNA", at positions 30 to 506 of the family's 1533-position model. The record is from RNAcentral.
UUGAACGCUGGCGGCGUGCCUAAUACAUGCAAGUCGAGCGAACAGACGAGGAGCUUGCUCCUCUGACGUUAGCGGCGGACGGGUGAGUAACACGUGGAUAACCUACCUAUAAGACUGGGAUAACUUCGGGAAACCGGAGCUAAUACCGGAUAAUAUAUUGAACCGCAUGGUUCAAUAGUGAAAGACGGUUUUGCUGUCACUUAUAGAUGGAUCCGCGCCGCAUUAGCUAGUUGGUAAGGUAACGGCUUACCAAGGCAACGAUGCGUAGCCGACCUGAGAGGGUGAUCGGCCACACUGGAACUGAGACACGGUCCAGACUCCUACGGGAGGCAGCAGUAGGGAAUCUUCCGCAAUGGGCGAAAGCCUGACGGAGCAACGCCGCGUGAGUGAUGAAGGUCUUCGGAUCGUAAAACUCUGUUAUUAGGGAAGAACAAAUGUGUAAGUAACUAUGCACGUCUUGACGGUACCUAAUCAGAAAGCCACGGCUAACUACGU